RNAcentral lists this ribosomal RNA (483 nucleotides) under uncultured bacterium. RNAcentral's name for it is "partial 16S ribosomal RNA". It matches the Rfam family "Bacterial small subunit ribosomal RNA", at positions 28 to 507 of the family's 1533-position model. The record is from RNAcentral.
GACGAACGCUGGCGGCGUGCUUAACACAUGCAAGUCGAACGCUGAAGCUCAGCUUUUGUUGGGUGGAUGAGUGGCGAACGGGUGAGUAACACGUGAGUAACCUGCCCCCUUCUUUGGGAUAACGCCCGGAAACGGGUGCUAAUACUGGAUAUUCACUGGUCUUCGCAUGGGGGUUGGUGGAAAGGGUUUUUCUGGUGGGGGAUGGGCUCGCGGCCUAUCAGCUUGUUGGUGGGGUGAUGGCCUACCAAGGCUUUGACGGGUAGCCGGCCUGAGAGGGUGGCCGGUCACAUUGGGACUGAGAUACGGCCCAGACUCCUACGGGAGGCAGCAGUGGGGAAUAUUGCACAAUGGGCGCAAGCCUGAUGCAGCGACGCCGCGUGAGGGAUGGAGGCCUUCGGGUUGUGAACCUCUUUCGCUCAUGGUCAAGCCGCAACAAUGGUUGUGGUGAGGGCAGUGGGUAAAGAAGCGCCGGCUAACUACGUG